UCAACUUUAGAUUAGACCUCAGAUCAGGCAGGAUCACCCGCUGAACUUAAGCAUAUCAAUAAGCGGAGGAAAAGAAACUAACAAGGAUUCCCCUAGUAACGGCGAGUGAAGCGGGAAGAGCUCAAAUUUGUAAUCUGGCACUUUCAGUGUCCGAGUUGUAAUCUCGAGAAGUAUUUUCCGCGCCGGACCGCAUACAAGUCUGUUGGAAUAGAGCGUCAUAGUGGUGAGAACCCCGUAACUGAUGCGGAUGCCCGGUGCUUUGUGAUAUACUUUCGAAGAGUCGAGUUGUUUGGGAAUGCAGCUCAAAUUGGGUGGUAAAUUCCAUCUAAAGCUAAAUAUUGGAGCAAGACCGAUAGCGAACAAGUACCGUGAGGGAAAGAUGAAAAGCACUUUGGAAAGAGAGUUAACAGUACGUGAAAUUGUUGGAAGGGAAACGCUUGAAGUCAGACUUGCUAUUCGGAGUUCAGCCGCAAGGUGUAUUCUUCGAUUUGCAGGCCAGCAUCAGUUUUUGGGGGUGGAAAAUCGUGGUUUGAAUGUAGCAGUUUCGGCUGUGUUAUAGCUUUCCACUGGAUUCAUCUUCGGGGACUGAGGAACGCAGUACGCUUUUUGCAAGGCUCUCGAGCUUU
RNAcentral lists this ribosomal RNA (626 nucleotides) under Leucosporidium scottii. Its description in RNAcentral is "eukaryotic LSU rRNA". It matches the Rfam family "Eukaryotic large subunit ribosomal RNA", at positions 1 to 634 of the family's 3401-position model. Lineage: Eukaryota; Fungi; Basidiomycota; Microbotryomycetes; Leucosporidiales; Leucosporidiaceae. The record is from RNAcentral.